GAGAGUAGAUAGAUAGAUAGAUAGUUAAAGAAAGACAGAGUAGAUAGAUAGAUAAAAUAGAUAUAGAGAGAAGUAAAAAAAGAUCAAUAAACAAAUAAGAUAGAUAGAUAGACAGACAGACAGACAGAUAGAUAGAUAGACAGACAGAUAGAUAGAUAGAUAGAUAGACAGACAGAUAGAUAGAUAGAUAGAUAGAUAGAUAGACAGACAGACAGAUAGAUAGAUAGAUAGACAGACAGACAGAUAGAUAGAUUGAUAGACAGACAGAUAGAUAGAUAGAUAGAUAGAUAGACAGACAGACAGAUAGAUAGAUUGAUAGACAGACAGACAGAUAGAUAGAUAGAUAGAUAGAUAGAUAGAUAGACAGACAGACAGAUAGAUAGAUUGAUAGACAGACAGACAGAUAGAUAGAUAGAUAGAUAGAUAGAUAGAUAGACAGACAGACAGAUAGA
Long non-coding RNA from Ictalurus punctatus (channel catfish), 452 nucleotides. The record is from Ensembl. Lineage: Eukaryota; Metazoa; Chordata; Actinopteri; Siluriformes; Ictaluridae.